Long non-coding RNA from Hemiscyllium ocellatum (epaulette shark), 581 nucleotides. RefSeq lists it as uncharacterized. The transcript is spliced from 3 exons. The record is from RefSeq and is a predicted model, not a curated record. NCBI's taxonomy places the organism in Eukaryota, Metazoa, Chordata, Chondrichthyes, Orectolobiformes, Hemiscylliidae.
UCGAUAUCCACUCGAUGUGCGACACUCAGAUGCGACUUGGGAGGGCGUGGCCAAGCACCGAAGGCCUACUCUUACUUAGAAAUCUGUUCCUCCGGAAAGCCAAGAAAGCUGUUAUUGGGCUUGCAUCAAAAUCCUUCACUGUCGUUUCAGAUGAGUAUCAAGCAUCACACUAAUGAGGUGGCACCAUGGCUCAGUGGUUAGCACUGCUGCCUCACAGCACCAGGGCCCUGGGAUCGAUUCCAGCCUCAGAUCUCCAUGGGAAUUAGAACAAAAUCUAACCUUCAAUGAGUGUAUGGAUCACUUCUUUAUGGCCCAUCUCACAAGCCCGGAAAAGUGGUGUAUGUUUCAUCACAUCCAUGGCAUCCACUUGUGCCCCAUAUUUCAACAGAAGCUUCACUGUGCUAACAUGACCAGAGAGGACUGCAGCAUGUAGAGCUGGAUGCAUUGAAAGAAGAAAUAUUUGUAUCAAAUGGACAUUUUGACAAAAUGUAAAUAACACACACAAGUACACAGAAAUGGACAGAAUCACCCAGUUUAAUUUCUUAACAUUAAGGAAAAUUUUAAUUUAUAACGAGUAAACA